CGCAUUCAAAAAUUCAUUCAAUGUUUUUUUCAUGAUUUGAAAAAUAUAGGGCCCAAGUGCAGAGCGUAAAAUCAAUGGUGCUUCUUAGCACUACGAUGUACUGUACUGUAACAGUAAAGGCGAGGCAAACUGAAUCAGAAAAUAAUUUAAAAUGACUGAAAAGCAAGUUGGUACUUCAAUAGUAUUUCAAUUAUUAUACGCAGCUUCUCAGAAAAUGAUUAUUCAAACAAUUCUCUUGAUUUGCUGAAGAAAUUAUACAAAUUCUGAUCAUUUUUAUGUCUAGAUGGAGUUUUCUCAGUGAUAAAACUUUUCCCACUUGGGUAAAUGUUCAAACAUUUUUUAUCGAUAGAACACUUUAAAAUAUAAGAUACUUCCUAAGAUUGACCAAUGAAGCUAUUGUGAAGAAGUUAUUAAACAUGUAUUCAAUAUGAUGUUAAUCUUGAUUAAAUGCAACUGAUCUCUCCCACAUUAUGAAUACCAAAGUGAAGAACGAUUUUAAGAACGCAAAUUUGACCAAAAUUUCUCCGUCUUCUUUUGAUAGGUGAACAUAAUGAAUCAGAUACAGUUGUAUUCAGAAUUCUUAAAAUGGAUAUAUUCAACUGUGGGACCAAAGUGUUAUCAA
Coccinella septempunctata (seven-spotted ladybird) is the source of this 622-nucleotide long non-coding RNA. RefSeq lists it as uncharacterized. Lineage: Eukaryota; Metazoa; Arthropoda; Insecta; Coleoptera; Coccinellidae. The transcript has 2 exons. The record is from RefSeq and is a predicted model, not a curated record.